AGUGAACGCUGGCGGCAGGCCUAACACAUGCAAGUCGAACGGCAGCACGGCAGUAGCAAUACUGUGGGUGGCGAGUGGCGGACGGGUGAGGAAUACAUCGGGAUCUACCCUGUUGUGGGGGAUAACGUAGGGAAACUUACGCUAAUACCGCAUAAGAACUGAGGUUGAAAGCGGCGGACCGCAAGGCGUCGCGCGAUUGGAUGAACCGAUGUCCGAUUAGCUAGUUGGCGGGGUAAAGGCCCACCAAGGCGACGAUCGGUAGCUGGUCUGAGAGGACGACCAGCCACACUGGAACUGAGACACGGUCCAGACUCCUACGGGAGGCAGCAGUGGGGAAUAUUGGACAAUGGGCGCAAGCCUGAUCCAGCCAUGCCGCGUGGGUGAAGAAGGCCUUCGGGUUGUAAAG
Molecule: ribosomal RNA, 406 nt
Filed under: uncultured bacterium
Lineage: Bacteria
Description: bacterial SSU rRNA
Rfam family: Bacterial small subunit ribosomal RNA
Source: RNAcentral